Molecule: long non-coding RNA, 4042 nt
Organism: Macaca mulatta (Rhesus monkey)
Lineage: Eukaryota; Metazoa; Chordata; Mammalia; Primates; Cercopithecidae
Source: Ensembl
GAUACUUGCUGAGAAAGAUCUGCAUAAGGAAGUGUGCUUUCACCAUCUCCUCCACCAAAGGGAAUUGUAAUUAAGAGCAGAUUGAGGAGCAAAGAAGUAUUAGAGUCAAAACUUGUCCAGACACCGCUCAUGUCUGCCAAAUGGAUGGUGAGACAGGAGGUCAGACUGAAUUAAUUUGCACAGUUUCCCAUCUGGCGUCUGAUUCAUUCUGUGAGGCUGCUGGAAACAGAGGAGGUAUACAGAUGACUGCUACUAAAACAUGACCAUAUGGGCGCAUCAACAUCCACAGGAAACUGGAGUCUCUGGGGUGGUGGCUUCACAUGGAAGACAACAGAAAGAAGUCAGAACAAAGACAAAUCGCUCUGCACUGGGCUUUCCAGCCGAGCAGAUCCAGAAAGAGACAACAUCAGAAGAAAGUGUUUUGUGGUUACCCAAAGCUGCUUCUCCUGUUCCACCUAAGGAACAUCCAGUCUUCUGAUUGCUUGUUUUCUGUGCUUAUGGUACUUGCGGUGUUACAUAUCUUGGAGUUUAUGAGGAAAUCAAGCAGCGCUUGCUCAGCACCUGAUAGUGCAGAUGCUAAGCUGGAGUCAUCAUUUCUGCCAUCCAGUUUGUGCUCACCGUGAAACUUGGAGGAAAAUGUAAGUGCUUCUAUUUUCACAGGCGAAGAGAUACAUGUUCAGGAGAAGGUGAGUCCCAUUGUCAGUAAAUACGGUAUCAGAACUUGGAUCCAGACUUUUUUGACCACACAAUUGUGAUCCUUUCUUUGGAGGUGCUGGGCCGGGGUCUGCCUGUUUUGACAGAUAUGUUGCGAAUAAGAAAUAUUGUAGAAAGCCACCAAGAUCUGGUCUUCAGCACAGAAUAUUCCCCAUUUUUGGAGAUUCACAACACAUAUCGGAGUGAUACAUUUGGUGGGGAAGCCAGACCAUCAAACCUCCACUCACCUCACACCUCAUUCUCCCUUUGUUCUCUUCCUCGGAACAUUCUGGAUGGACAAAGAGACCCAGGAAAUAAAUGCCUCCUAGUGAGAAAAGAAUGCCUCUUACCUGAAUUUGCAAAAACCAAAACCUGACAGAAAUUGCUUUGAAAGCAUGGGGGACUAAGGACCUUAACGUUUCACGUGGAAAUUAAUUAUGGAGGUCCUGGUAUUAUUAAUCUGAGUAAUACAAAACACAUCAAGUAGAAAGUAUACAUUUCCUGUGUUGUCUUUAACUUUAUUUUAAUGUAAAAGUUUACAUAAGGGGUUUUACAGGUGGACUUGGGAUUUCAGUUGUCCAACACUUUGCUUUUUCCAUAAAGGCUCAAUCAGACUUUCCAAUUACAGGCAUUUUCGUUAUCACUAUUCUUGAAAUACAGGGAUUACUACUGUUAUGUAUCUGCUUCUUUAGGUGUUUCCUUGGCAGAAGGACCCCAUAAAUAGUGGAGCAGAGGAGAACCCUGUGUUCCUGACUAUGGUGUGGGAAUCCAGCCACAUGGCGCUGAUGCCCACUCCUGUCAAGAUGCAACCCCUCUGCCCUUUGCAACCUUGCCCAGAGCCAAGUGUGGGAUCUGUCAACAUAUGGCUCAGUUGGACUCAAGUUUCCUUUUUUAACACUGGAAGCAAUUUUAAUGAAUACAUUAAUACUGGGGACAAGAUGGAAAGGAAGGGAUGUUUGAAUUAACUAGGGAAUAAAAUAUCAAGUGUAUCUUGCCCUCCUGAUGGCAAUGUACAGUUCUUCUCAUUGAAAUUGAAACAAGAAAAUGCCAAAAUGGAACAUAUUGUUAGACUCCUUAAACUGAACGUUGCAAAAAUUGUUUGGUAUAAAAGAAAUCACAGCAUAAACAAAGUACAUGUUCUUCCUGGGACACUAUGAUCUGACGUUGGGCAAUUUAGAACGUUUUAAUGGAAUAUAAAUAUGCAUGAAAAUGUUAUGUAGCAGAGUGAAAGAUCAGGGUCAAUUACAAUAUCAUAAUUAUACACUCAAGCACGCAAACACGCACAUAAAUACGUAUACUCACGUACGUGUGGAUUUUCCCUCUCAUGCUUCCUUAACCUAGAGCUCAAGGGUCAAGCCAAGUUGUCUGAGUUCUUACUGAGACACGAGGAAUAAUAUGAGAGAAGGAGCGAGGCAGCACUCAUAUGCUUCUUUCUUUUUCUUACUCCUCUUCCCUUUCCCUGUUCUCCCGGCCCGGGCUGGGCAGGCUGAACCUUGGAGGAGGCUCACCCAGGAAGGAGUGGAGGAAGCACAAAGACAGUAUUAGCCUGGUGAGGCAGACGGUGCAGGGUGGCUAACUGGGUGUGAAGCUGCACCCACCAAUCUUGGCCACAGCCACUCCUAGUUCAUGUGUGGUCCCAAGGAGAGCAGCAACAGGUUUCUUGUGUUUUUGCUGCAUUUCAUUCGUGGUUCUACCUCUAUUUCUAAUCUCCAAUAUCUAUUCCUCCCUUCUAGUCACCCUCAUGUACUUUCAGUGCUCUUUAAGGAAUUCUGUGCCUGCCUCACCCCCACUUCAGCUGGAACAUCGCCCUACCUGAUCCAGACACCAUCCUGGCAUCCUGGGGUCGCAUAGGUCCCCUAAUUUAUUUUAGUAUUUGACUAUGUAAUCUCUCUUUGAGGGACACUUACACAGUCAUGCAUCACUCAAUGAUGGGGGUACAUUCUGAGAAGUGUAUCCUUAGGUGAUUUUGUUGUUCUGUGAACACCAUGGCGUUUACUCACACAAACCUACUACCUGGUACAGCCUACUACACCCCUGGGCUCCCUGAUAUGGCGUAUUGCUCCCAGGCUACAAACCUGUACAGCAUGCCAUUGUACAGAAUACUGUAGGCACUUAUAAUACAAUGGUAAUGAUUUGUGGAUGUAAACAUAUCUAAAUAUAGAGAAGGAAACUUUCAGCUCCAUUAUAAUCUUAUGGGACCACCAUCUUAUAUGUAGUCAAUAGUUGACUGAAAUAUCAUUAUGUGGUGCAUGACUGUAUUUUAUUUUAUUUUAUUUUAUAUUUUAUUUUAUUUUUGAGACAGAAUCUUGCUCUGCCAUCCAGGCUGGAGUGCAGUGGCAUGAUCUAAGCUCACUGCACCCUCUGCCUCCCAGGUUCAAGCAAUUCUCCAGGCUCAGCCUCCCGAUUAGCUGGGAUUAAAGGUGUGUGCCACCAUGCUUGGCUGAUUUUUGUAUUUUUAGUGGAGAUGGGGUUUCACCGUGUUGGCUAGGCUUGUCUUCUGACCUCAAGUGAUCUACCCACCUCGGCCUCCCAAAGGGCUGAAAUUACAGGUAUGAGCCACCACCGCACUGGCAUAACAUGACUGUAUUUUAAAAAGAGAUUUAUUAAGUUCAUCUUUAUUCGAUAAAAAUGUGUAGGAAUAAAUUGUUGAAGAGAUGAAGCUUCAAAUGGUCUAACAAGAACUUUGUGUAUGAUUUGGUACAAUCUCCUACCCACCUUCUCAAAGUUCCAGGAAAUAAAACACACAGGAAAGCUUUGUCUGACUGAGUAAAGUGAUGGCCUGACCAGCACACGGGCAUAAAUCUCUUCCCCACUAUUCUGAGUAAUUCCACUCAUUCAUUCAUUCAUUCAUUCAUUCGCUGAUUCAGAAACAUCGUUCAGCUUUUACUGCAUCUCAGACACUGGAGACUCAAAGGGAAAUAAGAAUCUGACCUUGUCCUUGAGAAUCCCAUAGUCUGGGAAUAGAGAGAUGCUAACUUUAUUUCCGUUAUAGCCUUCACAAAAUUGGAAGUGAAAUAGUUGCAAGCAAUACUCCUGACUUCCAGCAGCCAUGGAGCUUGUGUGGUGGUUUUAUGAGGUAAAUGUCAUCAUGCCUGUGGCUCUGACAAAUGAGCUUCAAGAGUUCAGGGUUGCCCCCAUCAGGAUGCUAUUCUUCCUGCAAAGAUGCGUCCUGACUCAUUUGUACUGCAUUUGACAGCGAUCCAGAUCAGAUCCAGACAGGGGCAGAGAUGUGGUCAUUAAAGGUGUUACUCUCAUAGAACUCUUAGCAUGGAGAACACAGCCAGGCUCAUCAUCUUUAUCAUUAUUGUGACUAUCAGACACAUAUGUAUGUCCCUAGUCUCCUCCUAAG